UACGAAGGGGGCUAGCGUUGCUCGGAAUCACUGGGCGUAAAGGGUGCGUAGGCGGGGCUUUAAGUCAGGGGUGAAAUCCUGGAGCUCAACUCCAGAACUGCCUUUGAUACUGAAGAUCUUGAGUCCGGGAGAGGUGAGUGGAACUGCGAGUGUAGAGGUGAAAUUCGUAGAUAUUCGCAAGAACACCAGUGGCGAAGGCGGCCCACUGGCCCGGUACUGACGCUGAGGCGCGAAAGCGUGGGGAGCAAACAGG
This 253-nucleotide ribosomal RNA is filed under the name uncultured bacterium. RNAcentral describes it as "partial 16S ribosomal RNA". It matches the Rfam family "Bacterial small subunit ribosomal RNA", at positions 524 to 776 of the family's 1533-position model. The record is from RNAcentral.